GACUAAACGCCUUAUUUGUAUUCCAGGCCUCCUCCGUGUCUCCUCACGUGUGACUGAGUGAGAGAGAGCGAGCGAGCGAGCGAGCGGGCGGGCGGGCGAGCACGAGAGAGAGAGGGAGGGAGACAGCGAGGGGCUGAGGCUCGCACGAUGCAGCAGAGCGCUGAGACAGACCUGACAUUUCCCUGAGAGGAGCCCACCGUGUCAAGUGGCGGCCACGGGUUCAGCUCCUGCAUUCCUCGCCACCGUCGCACCGAGAUCCCGGGAGAACGACGGCUGCAGCACUUUGGAAUAUAACAUUUUCAGAAAAAAUUUUUAUCCUCCUUUUGCGUGCCCCACACCACCUAUCCCCUGUGCCUCCUGCUCAAGCCCGGAGGAGGAUCUGUGUCGAGAAUCGUGGUUCGAAUGAGAAUAGCCCUGGGUGUCUGUGCCAGGCAGAAGAGGCGCUGCUGGACGGCUGGAGCGGGUCGCCCCCCUGCCACGCGCACAUACACGUGUGCCUCAGAGGGAGGAGGCCGCGGCCCGAGGGCAAGCGCUGCAGGAGACGCCAGAGCCGGACAGCGGAGCUCUCCAAGAGGCCGAGGAGCUGCCCCGCAGUGCGGAUGCUGUGACAACGUCUGUUUCGGGGACACACGCUCGAGCAUCCCGAAGUUUCUGUGCACGUGGCUGAAUCUGCGGCGAAGCGUUUCGAGGACACCUCGGGAGCAUCGCCGCACUCCUGAGCCCUCAUCCUGGGAUCGUCGCCGAGGGCCUCCUGUACACCGGGUCUCGCGUGGGAUUAGAAAACUGCCAGAAGUCGAAACAACCAAACUGGAUCUUACUUCUCAGCACCUUCACCCAGAGAACUUCUCCGGCGAACAGCAAACGUCACGAUGUUCCACUACGUCUGUUUCUCCCGAGUUUCCGGCGACUGAACAAAUGGUACUCACCGCGGUACUUUGUGUGAGCUACGUGUACGAAAUGAAGGUCAGUUAACAGAACACCCAAGACACAAGUCAUCUUCCUGAAGUUUCCAUCCCAACCACUCAACAGAGCGCACCACGCAGAAGGUCAGCUCAUCUCCCUGCCAAUAUCUGCAGUUUAUUUUUGACCCUUUUCUAAAACUGGAUUCAGGACCUCCUAAUGAGACGGUGUUACCCUGAGUUACCAUCUGUUCUUCCUGCUCGCUGGAAAACAGUCUCUGAUUUCUCCAGUGGAGAAGAUCAUCUUAGAAGGAUUAGUGAUGAAAUGGGG
RNAcentral lists this long non-coding RNA (1230 nucleotides) under Scleropages formosus (Asian bonytongue). Its description in RNAcentral is "lncRNA (ENSSFOG00015030695.1)". Lineage: Eukaryota; Metazoa; Chordata; Actinopteri; Osteoglossiformes; Osteoglossidae. The record is from RNAcentral.